UACGUAUUUUGCCCAGGCGGAGCUCAACCGCCCACUGAAGCGAUGAUUUCCUUCAUCGACGAACACCACUCGGUGCUCGGGGUCGAGCCGAUCUGCAGACUGCUGCCGAUUGCCCCG
This is a regulatory RNA element of Rhizobium oryziradicis, 117 nucleotides long. It matches the Rfam family "ALIL pseudoknot". The record is from Rfam. NCBI's taxonomy places the organism in Bacteria, Pseudomonadati, Pseudomonadota, Alphaproteobacteria, Hyphomicrobiales, Rhizobiaceae.